This 21-nucleotide non-coding RNA is filed under the name Caenorhabditis elegans. The record is from RNAcentral. Lineage: Eukaryota; Metazoa; Nematoda; Chromadorea; Rhabditida; Rhabditidae.
UCGAAUUUUAAAUGUGUUUUA